GCAGUCGAACGAUGAUCCUGGAGCUUGCUCUGGGGGAUUAGUGGCGAACGGGUGAGUAACACGUGAGUAACCUGCCCUUGACUCUGGGAUAACCUCCGGAAACGGAAGCUAAUACCGGAUAUGACGCACGGAGGCAUCUCCUGUGCGUGGAAAGAAUUUCGGUCAAGGAUGGACUCGCGGCCUAUCAGGUAGUUGGUGAGGUAAUGGCUCACCAAGCCUACGACGGGUAGCCGGCCUGAGAGGGUGACCGGCCACACUGGGACUGAGACACGGCCCAGACUCCUACGGGAGGCAGCAGUGGGGAAUAUUGCACAAUGGGCGAAAGCCUGAUGCAGCAACGCCGCGUGAGGGACGACGGCCUUCGGGUUGUAAACCUCUUUUAGUAGGGAAGAAGCGAAAGUGACGGUACCUGCAGAAAAAGCACCGGCUAACUACGUGCCAGCAGCCGCGGUAAUACGUAGGGUGCAAGCGUUGUCCGGAAUUAUUGGGCGUAAAGAGCUCGUAGGCGGUUUGUCGCGUCUGCUGUGAAAUCCCGAGGCUCAACCUCGGGUCUGCAGUGGGUACGGGCAGACUAGAGUGCGGUAGGGGAGAAUGGAAUUCCUGGUGUAGCGGUGGAAUGCGCAGAUAUCAGGAGGAACACCGAUGGCGAAGGCAGUUCUCUGGGCCGUAACUGACGCUGAGGAGCGAAAGCGUGGGGAGCGAACAGGAUUAGAUACCCUGGUAGUCCACGCCGUAAACGUUGGGCGCUAGAUGUGGGGACCAUUCCACGGUUUCCGUGUCGCAGCUAACGCAUUAAGCGCCCCGCCUGGGGAGUACGGCCGCAA
RNAcentral lists this ribosomal RNA (824 nucleotides) under Leifsonia sp. HAP2-20_Pa. RNAcentral describes it as "bacterial SSU rRNA". It matches the Rfam family "Bacterial small subunit ribosomal RNA", at positions 57 to 891 of the family's 1533-position model. Lineage: Bacteria; Bacillati; Actinomycetota; Actinomycetes; Micrococcales; Microbacteriaceae. The record is from RNAcentral.